AGGGUGGGUGUGAUGUUAUAAGCUGAGGAAAAAGUCGUGCAUGCAAGCAGCCUAUUUGUGUUAUGGUAAAUAUACUUUGUUUUUAAUUUUGACUGGAGUUAAGGGGAAUAGCAGUUGUAGACCACAAGAGCUGGGAGGAGACAGCAGAGCAGUUGGGUGGUGAGGAAGGAGAGGAUGUGAAGAGCAGUCAGGAUGAACCUGCUAUGGGAAGUCUGAAGUUCAGACUGUUCUGAAAACAGCUUAUUUUAUCCACAGCUCCUAGUUGCAGAACCUCCAAGAUACUUCUCUUCUGGGUCUGGCAGAAGAUCAGUUUGUUUGUCCUGAAAAGCUCUGGGAGAUGGAUUUGUGCAAAGCAUCUGGAAGAGCCUGGCUGUAACUCACACUGCCUCUCCAAGGAUGGAGUCCCUCUGUGCUGAGCAGGGGCUCUGCAACCAUCUCUAUUGCACAGAGACGCCCCGAUGCAAGUGCUAAUCAACCCAAGCGAUGAUUGCAAUUGCACUGCAACUUAUUUUGAUAAUGUGUUUUGGCUCCUUAGCUACAGGUCCAAAUAAUUUAGCAGUCAUCCAGACACCGACGAAAGUACACUUAUCAAUUGGAGACUCCACGGAAAUUGCAUGUAUUUGGGAAAAAAUCAGUUCGAUUGAGAGGUAUAGAGUAAGCUGGUAUCUUGUCAAUGAAGAGAACAUCACAAAAACUGUAACAUCGGAGCUUGUCUACAUAUCCAAUGUCACCCACAAAAACAAGGAUGUGCUAGUGAUAGAAGCUGCCAAUGUAAAUAACACUGGAUUUUACUACUGUGAGAUAAUUAUUGAAAUACCUUUCUGUGAAAGAGUAUAUGGAAAUGGAACAACACUGACUGUUGAAAUGAAAGGUUCUACCCAGCUUCCUAUGCCAGAAGAAAGACAUGAGGAGGAGCAGAUGCUUCAGCUAGAUGAACUUCAUGGAAGAAGUGAAUUCAUCAAUGAAGCAGCUGAAGAAAACUCAUCAUGUAAUUCUGCUGAAUGGGCUGUGUCUACACUGUAUGAAUCAUUUGAUCUUUUUUGCAAUGAACCAAGAUAAAAGAUGGCAAAUCCAUUGUGACUACUGUAUCCAGUGCAGCAGAUGAAGAAAGCCCAUGAAUGAGGGCAGCUGAAGAGUCAGGAACAAAAGUGAGACAAGGAUUUACUAUCUACUUUGACACUAAGAACUAAAGGAUCAUGUCAUAAAUAACCGGUAUGGAUAAAGAUCUAUGAAACUGAAAACAAUACCAUAAUUUGCUGCUGAAAUAUGGAUUACAUGAGUCUGCUGUCAGAAGCACAUCAGUGGGACAAUAUGCCAGAACAAAUGUUGGUUCAGAACAGUCUCUGAAUGUUUUGUCAUUGACUUUAUCAUAAGGAUCUGUGAAUUUGGAGUGUUCACAGUUUUAGAAGACUAUGUCUUCAACUCUACCCCCAAUAUCCAGAGUGCAGAACUAAUAAGGGAUGUAUUGCCAUACUUCGUGUCUUCUGGAUUGAACGGUAUUUUUCAACAAAAGUGUUACUUCAGGCAGCCAAGCAUUGGCUGCCUGAAAUUUAAUGGCAAUCUUUCAACCAAAUAGGUAGGUACUACAUAUAGGACGAAGUCUGAUCCCUGAAACAGUCAUCAGUGCUGACUGCAUCUUACCAAGGGUGAUAUGCCAAAAGGCAUUACUUUCCUGCAGACAGGAACUGCUGAUGUUAAUUUAUUCACAAUAUUAAAGCCUGCCAGAGUAGGUAGUCUCCUAUGGUCAAUGAAAUACUCAGUUUAAAUGAAAUUAUAUAUAAUAGAAUUAUAUAUAAUUAUCAUUUGAUUGUGGGGAGGUUUGGAGCAAAUGGGUGUUAACACUUAUUCCACUUUUGCCCAUUCUAAAACUAGAGAAUCACUGAAGAAAUAAAUCAAAACUAAAAAUGCA
Molecule: long non-coding RNA, 1909 nt
Filed under: Apteryx rowi (Okarito brown kiwi)
Lineage: Eukaryota; Metazoa; Chordata; Aves; Apterygiformes; Apterygidae
Description: lncRNA (ENSARWG00000005432.1)
Source: RNAcentral